RNAcentral lists this ribosomal RNA (514 nucleotides) under uncultured bacterium. RNAcentral describes it as "partial 16S ribosomal RNA". It matches the Rfam family "Bacterial small subunit ribosomal RNA", at positions 28 to 523 of the family's 1533-position model. The record is from RNAcentral.
GAUGAACGCUGGCGGCGUGCCUAAUACAUGCAAGUCGAGCGAACAGAUGAGAAGCUUGCUUCUCUGAUGUUAGCGGCGGACGGGUGAGUAACACGUGGGUAACCUACCUAUAAGACUGGGAUAACUCCGGGAAACCGGGGCUAAUACCGGAUAAUAUUUUGAACCGCAUGGUUCAAUAGUGAAAGGCGGUUUCGGCUGUCACUUAUAGAUGGACCCGCGCCGUAUUAGCUAGUUGGUAAGGUAACGGCUUACCAAGGCGACGAUACGUAGCCGACCUGGGAGGGUGAUCGGCUACACUGGAACUGAGAAACGGUCCAGACUCCUACGGGAGGCAGCAGUAGGGAAUCUUCCGCAAUGGGCGAAAGCCUGACGGAGCAACGCCGCGUGAGUGAUGAAGGUCUUCGGAUCGUAAAACUCUGUUGUUAGGGAAGAACAAAUUUGUUAGUAACUGAACAAGUCUUGACGGUACCUAACCAGAAAGCCACGGCUAACUACGUGCCAGCAGCCGCGGUAA